ACUUAAAUAGUUUAAUAAAAAUUUUGAUUUGUGGAAUCAAGGAUAUAAAUUUACUUUAUUUUAAGUU
Molecule: transfer RNA, 67 nt
Filed under: Cephalcia yanqingensis
Lineage: Eukaryota; Metazoa; Arthropoda; Insecta; Hymenoptera; Pamphiliidae
Description: tRNA-His
Source: RNAcentral